This 253-nucleotide ribosomal RNA is filed under the name uncultured bacterium. RNAcentral's name for it is "partial 16S ribosomal RNA". It matches the Rfam family "Bacterial small subunit ribosomal RNA", at positions 524 to 776 of the family's 1533-position model. The record is from RNAcentral.
UACGUAGGGGGCAAGCGUUGUCCGGAAUUAUUGGGCGUAAAGAGCGCGUAGGCGGUCCGAUAAGUCGGCUGUGAAAGUCAGGGGCUCAACCCUUGGAAGCCGGCCGAUACUGUCGGACUAGAGUCCGGAAGAGGCGAGUGGAAUUCCCGGUGUAGCGGUGGAAUGCGCAGAUAUCGGGAGGAACACCAAUGGCGAAGGCAGCUCGCUGGGACGGUACUGACGCUGAGGCGCGAAAGCGUGGGGAGCAAACAGG